GCGGGUGUAGCUCAAUGGUAGAGCAGAAGCCUUCCAAGCUUACUACGGGGGUUCGAUUCCCCUCACCCGCUCCA
RNAcentral lists this transfer RNA (74 nucleotides) under Alphaproteobacteria bacterium. Its description in RNAcentral is "tRNA-Gly". It matches the Rfam family "tRNA". From Rfam's summary of the family: Transfer RNA (tRNA) molecules are approximately 80 nucleotides in length. RNAcentral also lists the same sequence under 2 other names. The record is from RNAcentral. Lineage: Bacteria; Pseudomonadati; Pseudomonadota; Alphaproteobacteria.